Long non-coding RNA from Coffea eugenioides, 2343 nucleotides. RefSeq lists it as uncharacterized. The record is from RefSeq and is a predicted model, not a curated record. The transcript has 5 exons. Lineage: Eukaryota; Viridiplantae; Streptophyta; Magnoliopsida; Gentianales; Rubiaceae.
CUAGCACACCAAGAAACACACAUAGCAAUACCAUAUUUUCUGUAAGAACGAAACUUUGCAGCCUUCUCAAUACCUUGCAGAAAACCCACCAAAAACCCAUAAUUGAAUUUCAAUAUCUAACUCCUUUUCGCUUUUCUUUGGUCACAAUUCCCUUAACAAACAAAGUAGGGAAAGUUUUUGUUUUUCUUCCCACAAAAGACUAAACUUUUUAGCCAUGGCUUCGUCUCCAAAAUUGUCUGCUGCUUAGCCUAUUCUAAUUGCCCUAAAUAUCUCUUUCCUUCAUGUCUUUGCCGCCUUCGUAAUGGGUUUUAGCGCGAUUUGCAAGCAGGAUUUGGAGUACAAAUAUAUUUGGAUUAAGCCAGUUCAGUUUUUGUUGGCUUGGACAGAAAAAAUCAGUAGUAGUAGUACUAGCAAUAGCAGUAGUCAGAAGCCAAGGAUGGUGGAGCUAUUGGGAACUCAUCUGGAGUGGAACAGAUGCAUGUGCUUUAUGGGGAUUUAAACUGGGUUUGGAUCCACCGGAUGCCGCCUGCAUCGGUCGGACUUGGUUUUCCAUUGAUCAUCAGAUAAUCGUUGGAAAACAACUCAUUCUAGCAUUAACGAGUCAAGAUUAGAGAGUAUCUUCUUAGCACCAUAGAGGAUUUUACUGGAAAACAAGGAGGUUCUAAAGACUUUACUUUAUUGAUGGAGAAUAAUACUGAUAUGGAUGGGAAAAGCCGCGAUUCAUUUUCAGAAGUUCCAGAAAAUUUUCAUGACAAGAACCAUGAGCAAAGUGGAUCAGGAAAAUUGUUGACAUGAGAGUUCAAGGAUGACAAUCUUUUGGUUUCUGCAAUUUUGAAGUGCAAAAGAUUUAUGUCUACCUGCAAAAGGUCAAUCCAUAGAUCAGAACGUCCAAGUAAGCGAAAGAACUAAAUGGGUAGUUGCAAUUUGCCUCUUCAGAGUCCUGGAAGGGGCGGUGGACAAACAAUAGUGUUGUCCUGGUUACUUCGUUCAGGAUGCAUUUCCCUUGGUGAUAUGAUCCAGUUUCGUGCUCGGAAGGCUAAAAUAUUGUGGUAAAAGAAGGUGUUAUAACUUUGGGUGGAAUAUUUUGCAAGUGCUGCAAUAAGGUGGUUUCACUCUUUGAGUUUAAUUGACAUGCUGGUUUCAGAGUUAACCGUGCUUGCUUAAAUCUUUUCAUGGAAUCGGGGAAGCCAUUUGUUUUGUGUCAGCCGAAUACAAGGCCAAGAAAGGUGCAUGUGUCACGGAUCAAAAUGAAGAGGUAGAUGAUGGAGAUGAUUAUUGUGGAUGCUGUGGUAAUGAUGGUGACUUAAUCUACUGCGACAAUUGUCCAUCUGCAUUUCAUCAUGAAUGCUUGUAUAUCAAGGAAAUACCAGAUGAAAAUUGGUAUUGUCCACAGUGCACUUGCCAGAUCUAUAGCAAUGGGAUGGAUAAAAAAGAGGUGCUAUUACCUCGUGAAAUGCUGAAAUGCAUCCAGUGCCAAAAACAUUGUCUAUCUAGGUCUUCAAGCACAAAUUGGCACCUCAAUCCUACUUUCUGAUGGAUUUCGCUGGAUACUUUUGAAGUGCAUCGAAGCUGAUCAGAAAGCUCAUUCUUCACAGAGCUUUGUUGCAUUAAAGGCAGAAUGCAACUCAAGGCUAGCUGUUGCAAUUCAAAUGAUGAAGGAAUAUUUUAUUCCCAUGGUGGAUACAAUAUCUGGUGUUAAUAUGAUGAUGCAACUAGUAUACAAUUGGGGCUCAAUGUUUCGUCGUGUAGAUUAUAGUCAGUUCUACAUAGCGGUCUUGGAGAAAGGCGACACCCUGAUUGCUUUAGCAUCUAUCAAGUAACUGCUGUUGUGUAACCUCUAGUCACUAGGAACUUUUCAGUCUUAGUCCGAGUAUUGCACUGCUACUUCCUCCAUAUAAUCCUAUGCUUGUGGAAGCUAUCAUGUUGGAUAUGGAAGUGCUUGGUUUACUUUUCGUGUGGCUCAUCUGCUCUGUGCUCUUUACAGAUGAGUUCAUGAGGAGAAACCCGCGUGUGUAAGGCUAUUUGUUUAGUACCAACGUCAAUGAGUAACUUAGAGGUUUUUGGGCACCAGUGAACAUGUCUUAUCCAAAAAAAGUCUUUAACUUAAUACAAGAUAUACUUCUGGAGACACUAUUGAGUCAGAUUAGUAUUCUAUUGCAACUAGAGGUUCUAGUUUAGAAUUAGAUGUCUAGAUAUGAUAUAGACCUGUUUCUCAAAUUUGGUUCUUUGGUGAGGCAUGUAAAUUGAUCCUAGUAAGAAGCAUGGUAGCAAAGUCAUGCUCUAUCUGCUCCAGUUUAAGAUCAAACUUCAUUUUUCAUGUAUUGCAUUCUUCUUUGGGAUACU